Molecule: long non-coding RNA, 203 nt
Filed under: Gossypium raimondii (Peruvian cotton)
Lineage: Eukaryota; Viridiplantae; Streptophyta; Magnoliopsida; Malvales; Malvaceae
Description: long non-coding RNA (GRAI_LNC004877)
Source: RNAcentral
CUCUUGAGGCUAUUAUGUUGGUCUCGAAGGAACAAAUGUUGGAUCUGAUGCUCUAAGUAUAAUAUUUUCGUCUAAGUACACUUAUAAUUUUUCGAACAUAUUGGUUAAUAAAUUUAUUCAUGAAUUACAUCAAUACUUUGUAUAUUAUCCUCACAUGUUUUUUGCACGCAAAGCAAAAUGGAAGAGAAUGUUACUUAUUGAUU